Molecule: transfer RNA, 77 nt
Filed under: Flavobacterium arcticum
Lineage: Bacteria; Pseudomonadati; Bacteroidota; Flavobacteriia; Flavobacteriales; Flavobacteriaceae
Description: tRNA-Arg
Rfam family: tRNA
About the family: Transfer RNA (tRNA) molecules are approximately 80 nucleotides in length. Their secondary structure includes four short double-helical elements and three loops (D, anti-codon, and T loops).
Source: RNAcentral
GGUCGCGUAGCUCAGCUGGAUAGAGCACCUGCCUUCUAAGCAGGCGGUCCCAGGUUCGAAUCCUGGCGCGAUCACUA